Molecule: ribosomal RNA, 468 nt
Filed under: Triticum aestivum (bread wheat)
Lineage: Eukaryota; Viridiplantae; Streptophyta; Magnoliopsida; Poales; Poaceae
Description: partial small subunit ribosomal RNA
Source: RNAcentral
CUCAAGCUUCAACCCUACGCUCAAACCUCCGUCGCCAACCGCCCGUGCCGCAAGCUGGCAUACAAGUUCUUUGGUCCCUUCACUGUGACGGAGCAUGUCGGCACGUUGGCGUAUCGCCUGAACCUGCCACCCGACAGCCGCAUCCACCCCGUCUUCCACGUCUCGCAACUCAAGCCGUUCGUCCCCGACUACACACCCGUCUUCGCCAAGCUGCCGAAGAUACCGGACCUCACUGCCACUGAACGCGUUCCGGUCGCCAUUCUGGACCGCCACAUGAUGAAGAAAGGAGACGCCCCAGUCGUCCAAGUUCAGGUGCAAUGGAGUUCCAUGCCGCCGUCGACAGCAACCUGGGAAGACUACUACGUGCUCCGGCAGCAUUACCCGGACGUGCCCCUUUGGGCAGAAGAAGAUCAAGCUGCUCAAGAGGGGGCAAAUGUCACGCCUGCAGAUCAGCCUGCAGCGGACUGA